RNAcentral lists this long non-coding RNA (306 nucleotides) under Elaeis guineensis (African oil palm). RNAcentral describes it as "long non-coding RNA (EGUI_LNC063970)". The record is from RNAcentral. Lineage: Eukaryota; Viridiplantae; Streptophyta; Magnoliopsida; Arecales; Arecaceae.
UAUUUGGUAACAAUCUCUAACUUAUUUUGAUUCCUAUGGUAGAUUUAAUAGUUAGAUCUAGAAUUUCAGCAUCGAUGAGAUCGAUGUGAUUUUUAUUUUCAGAUCUAAAGUAUAUAUUUUUUAUAUCAAAGAUCUUGAUGUAGUAGAAUAAGAUUAGAUCUUAUACAUGUGAUUAAGUUUAAAUUAUUUAAUCUAUUAUUUUUACUGUAUAAAAUUUUUUAAUUGCAUAUACUGUACUACUGUAAAUUUCUUUCAUCAUUAAGAUCCAUGUUUAUGUCUCAGUCAAACUCCAGCAGCCUCACUAUA